This is a long non-coding RNA of Tympanuchus pallidicinctus (lesser prairie-chicken), 1221 nucleotides long. RefSeq lists it as uncharacterized. The record is from RefSeq and is a predicted model, not a curated record. The transcript is spliced from 3 exons. NCBI's taxonomy places the organism in Eukaryota, Metazoa, Chordata, Aves, Galliformes, Phasianidae.
GUCUUGUUCUUGCGAAGACUUGUUUUGCAAGCUGAUGUUCCAGCUGGGCUCUUGUAUGGGAACUGCUGAGUCAUGGCCUGAACCUCUGAUUGAUCACCUGAGGCGAGCCAUGAGGCAGCCAGAGGAGCACAGGUGAAGGCAAUUCAAUUCACCUGUGCUGCCAGAAGGGGGUGGAGCCUGGCUGCCCCCUCCUAGAGCUAUUUAAGAGCUGGCUGCCAGGAGGGAAGGAUCUUUGCUGGAGAUCUGCUCUGCUGGAGUUUUGUGACAUCUUAAAAUUCUUUGACUGUAGAGCUCUGUAUCACGCACUGGCCAUAUGGGUACAGCAUGCAAGUGGAACAAACCCUACAGACCCUGGGGAGAAUGAAAGUGGGAGAAAGAGUGGAAGUGUGCUUUGAAGCAGGGGAUGCCCUGCUAGUGAUGCUGGUCAAAUCCACUGCUGGCAUGUUCCUUCUCUCUCCUUUUCGGUGGCUUGCCAUCUCUCAAGGUUUCCUUGCAGGAAGAGGAUAAAGAAAAGUCUGCUUUCACACAGGAGAGGAUAUGAUAUACCUUUAGCUGACUCCCACAGGGGUGUACACAUUCUCCCACUAUUGCUCAAGCCACCUCAGUGAACUUUGACAGAGUUUCACUGCCUUAGGAUGUGUAUCCAUGUGUAGAUGAUAUUUAAUUGCAAGCUCAUACUCCGGAAAGGUGGGGGAAGUGGCAGCAGCACUAGAUGACUGAGAAUUUGAGAUACCACCUGCAAACUGUCAGGGACUAAGUAAAGGAGUGAAACUUUAACGCAGCAAAGGCCAGCAAAAUUGUGCAGACUUGACUGAACCAAAGCGGAGAUAUGGGAAACCAGUGUGAACAGAAGCAAAGCUGUGCAAAAUCUUACAAAACCACGUGAACUUCAUGGAAUCUCAGUGAAGACCAGUGAUCCUGCAAAGUCUUCAGUGAACCAGGGUGGACUUCUGCAAAGCCCAGUGAAGAUCCACAAGCCUGUACAAAAAUACUGUGAAUCCGCAUGGACAGUACAAGGAACCCAAGUGAAAACCCACAACAUCGUGCGUCCUUUGGUUUAUUCAGGUUUGUUAUCUGGCAAUGCAGCCCAGCUGGAUAAGGCUCUUGUAGACUGGUAGUAUUUUCUUCAGGAACACUGAAAUCUGAAUCAGUGGGACAUCGCUUAUGAUCUAUUAUCCAACUCUUAUCUUCUCCUCCCCUGGUUUCUCAUUGCCUGAGCAC